This 719-nucleotide ribosomal RNA is filed under the name bacterium. RNAcentral's name for it is "bacterial SSU rRNA". It matches the Rfam family "Bacterial small subunit ribosomal RNA", at positions 67 to 832 of the family's 1533-position model. The record is from RNAcentral.
CGGACUCUUCGGAGUUAGUGGCGGACGGGUGAGUAACACGUGGGAACGUGCCUUUAGGUUCGGAAUAAGCCCGGGAAACUGGGUCUAAUACCGAAUGUGCCCUUCGGGGGAAAGAUUUAUCGCCUUUAGAGCGGCCCGCGUCUGAUUAGCUAGUUGGUGGUGUAAUGGACCACCAAGGCGACGAUCAGUAGCUGGUCUGAGAGGAUGACCAGCCACAUUGGGACUGAGACACGGCCCAAACUCCUACGGGAGGCAGCAGUGGGGAAUCUUGCGCAAUGGGCGAAAGCCUGACGCAGCCAUGCCGCGUGUAUGAUGAAGGUCUUAGGAUUGUAAAAUACUUUCACCGGUGAAGAUAAUGACUGUAGCCGGAGAAGAAGCCCCGGCUAACUUCGUGCCAGCAGCCGCGGUAAUACGAAGGGGGCUAGCGUUGCUCGGAAUUACUGGGCGUAAAGGGAGCGUAGGCGGACAUUUAAGUCAGGGGUGAAAUCCCAGAGCUCAACUCUGGAACUGCCUUUGAUACUGGAUGUCUUGAGUGUGAGAGAGGUAUGUGGAACUCCGAGUGUAGAGGUGAAAUUCGUAGAUAUUCGGAAGAACACCAGUGGCGAAGGCGACAUACUGGCUCAUUACUGACGCUGAGGCUCGAAAGCGUGGGGAGCAAACAGGAUUAGAUACCCUGGUAGUCCACGCCGUANNCCCUCGCCAUUAGUUGCCAUCAUUUA